This 253-nucleotide ribosomal RNA is filed under the name uncultured bacterium. RNAcentral describes it as "partial 16S ribosomal RNA". It matches the Rfam family "Bacterial small subunit ribosomal RNA", at positions 524 to 776 of the family's 1533-position model. The record is from RNAcentral.
UACGGGGGGGGCAAGCGUUGUUCGGAAUUACUGGGCGUAAAGGGCUCGUAGGCGGCCAACUAAGUCAGACGUGAAAUCCCUCGGCUUAACCGGGGAACUGCGUCUGAUACUGGAUGGCUGGAGUUUGGGAGAGGGAUGCGGAAUUCCAGGUGUAGCGGUGAAAUGCGCAGAUAUCAGGAAGAACACCCGUGGCGAAGGCGGUUCUCUGGGCCUGUACUGACGCUGAGGAGCGAAAGCGUGGGGAGCGAACAGG